GGACACAUGAAAUUUCACAGCCUCCUCAGUUCACUCUCCAGAUCAGUGGGUGGCGGUAAUGCACCCUUUGAUGUUUGUCAACCACCAGCUGAUUGAGCUGAAGAAGAAGGACGACGAGAAGGAGAAGAAGAGUGCAAUCAUUCAUCGCAGAGAGGAGCUGCACUUCUGCACACCUUUGAGCAGCAGUAUGAUGCAGGCAGAACUCUGUCUGAGACGGGACACUGAGACAACACUACCAGAGCUCACUGAGCAGCACAGGACCAGACAGAAAGAAGAGGAACUCAGUGGACUGGAGUCUGUCCACAUGGCAGAGUCAGAUACAGAGUGUGCUGGACCAGGACUCAAUACAUUGGAGCCAGAGUGUGUUACAGCACACAGUGGGGUCAGUGAUGUACACCACACACAUGCAUCCCUGAUUAAAACAGAAACUGAUCUGGGCUCCACCCACAUUGGGGAUCUUAUUAAGACAGAGACCCUCGACAGUACAGAGCUGGGAUAUGUAACCCAUCUACAUCCUGACCAAAUCAAAACAGAGGCUGAUGAUGGAGGAUACCGUCAGGCAGAACACAUCAGUGACUUGCAGGUUAUUGAAUGUGUUGAUAUUAAAUCUGAUCCAAUGAAGUGUGAAUCCAGUGAACGCUCAGUGAAUGAUCUCAUGAAUACUGUGAUGAAUGGAGCUGGUGUUGAUCAUGAAGACAAGACUGAACCCUGGCAAUGUGCAGGAGAGCCGAGCACAAACUGUAAAAAAGAAGAAAUGCAUGAUUUUCCAAUCCAUUGUGCGGACUUAACUCAUCACUGUGACAAAAACAAUGAAAAUAAUCUGACCAGAAUUGUCCAGAAAAAUACUAACUGUGGCAACAAACAUAUUGAUCGCCAGAGAAGGAAUGUAAGAAUUGCCCCCAAGAUAGUUGAUCCAAGUACAAACCGAAGCCUUUUGAUUUUCAUUCAAAACAAGUCAAUUCACAGAAAUAAAGGUGAAAUUCAAACCGGUGAAAAGUCGUACCAGUGUACACAGUGUGGGCGAUGCUUUUCCCAAAUGUGCCAUUUGAAUAGGCAUCGGAGAAUUCACACGGGUGAAAAGCCCUACAAAUGUACUGAUUGUGGGAAGUGUUUUUCCCAGACCAGUGCUUUAAAUUGCCAUAAGAUGAUUCAUACUGGUGAAAAGCCAUACAAGUGUACAGAGUGUGAGAAGUGUUUUAGUACAAACACUGCUUUAAAUAUACAUAUGAGAAUUCAUACAGGUGAAAAGCCAUACAAGUGUACACAAUGUGAGAAGUGUUUUAGUACAAAUUCUACUUUAAAUAUACACCAGAGAAUUCAUACAGGAGAAAAACCGUACAGUUGUACACAAUGUGGGAAGUGUUUUUCCACUAUAUCGCAUUUAAAUAGCCACCAGAGGAUGCAUACUGGAGAAAAGCCCUACAAAUGCACUGAGUGUGGGAAAUGUUUCAGUACAAAUUCUGCUUUAAAUGUUCACCUUAGAAUUCAUACAGGUGAAAAGCCUUACAAUUGUACACAGUGUGGGAAGUGUUUUUCCCAUACAGGUGCUUUAAAUUGCCACAAGAUGAUUCAUACAGGUGAAAAGCCCCAUAAAUGUCCUCAGUGUGGGAAGUGCUUUUCCAAAACAUCUCAUUUAAAUUCCCAUCAGAGAAUUCAUACAGGUGAAAAGCCCUACAAAUGUAUUGAGUGUAAGAAGUGUUUUGGUACAAAUUCUGCUUUAAAAAUACACUUGAGAAUUCAUACAGGCGAAGUACCAUAAAUGUACUCAGUGUGACAAGUGUUUUAAUGCAUCUUAUUUGGUCACACAAAAUCUCAUCUAAAUAACAUCUAGAUCAAAAUUUGUACAGAAUCUUGUCUAAAUAUAAUUUAAGAAAUUGUACAGGUGAAAAGCUCUACAAAUGUCCUCACUGUGGGAAGUGCUUUCCCCAUACAAGGACAUGAAAUAUACAGGUGAAAAAUACAUGUUCUCAGUGUUGUAAGUGCUUUUUGACUAUAAGUCAUUUAUAUCACCACCAGUGAACUCAUUCAGGCGAAUUGUACUCUGUGCAUCUGGUGUGGGAAGUGUUUUUUCACAAAAUCUAAUUUAAAUUAACAUUUGAGAAUUCAUACAGGUGAAAUGUCUUUCAGAUGCACUUAAUCGUGAAACAAAUAAUCUCCUUUUAAUGACAACAAAAUAACCUGCCAAAUGUACACACUUUGGGAAGUUUAAUGAAAGCAUCCUUUACAUUAUAUAAUUUGUGUGGGAAGUGUUUCAAAUCCAUUCAAAUCCUUUUAGCUAUUCUUUGAUUAUCAUAUUUUGGACCAAUGUCCAAAAAACGGCACCAAAAUACACUGCCAGUUUACUUUUGUAGUAAGUUUGGAUUAUUUAAAGGUUUAGAAAUGUCAUUUUAAUUCCUUGUAAAUGAAAAAUGUAAUUUCUUGUAGAUUGACGUGUGAUAUCUUGUGGUGAUCAAAUUGAUAACAGUGUAAUUUCUUUGAAAGAAAGCAUAUGAAAGCUGUUGGGUGUGAGGUAGAAAGAAACAAAAGCAAAAUAGUUUUCUGAAAAUGAACUUGACAGUACUAGCCUUUUCAGUUCUUUUGCUACCAAUGUUGAGGCUUUAAUGUAAGUCAGCAAAUCAUGAUUACUAGACUUCAGACAGUAUGUUUUAUUUGAUGUCAGUUGAGUAUCUUUGUUUCACUCUUUAUUUUUCAAUGUUGUAUAUGAAUUGUGUUUCAAACAAUUCUACAUUGUGAGUGUGCACAUACCUAGGUCUCUGUGCCAUAUAAUUUUCUGUAUAAACUAUUAUCUUUCACUGUCAUUGCUCUCUCCUUUUCUACCCAGUUUGAAAUGUUUUCAGACGCAGCAAUUUGCCAUUGUUGCCGAAUGUUAACAUGCAUCGAUUUAAUGUCAAAUUAUUUCAGCAUUGAAUCUAUAUUUUGGAUUUAUAUUGUGCUGAACCACACAACUGUGUUUUUAAGUAGUUGUCAUCUUUUAGCAAAAUGGACAUUGGUAAACUAUGACAAUAUUAGGCUACUGCCAGUGCAACCAGUGUGCGUAUACUGGCUAUAGUAAAAAGAAAAAACAAGCAUACCAUAAAAGGUUGUUUGCGACAUUACUUCAUACCUUAUUAGCCUAUGUUCAUGGACUUUUCAGCAGCCAUACCACCAUGUGCCCUGCUCCUGCUGAAUGGCUGAAGCUAAGCAGGUGUGGGCUUGGUUAGUACUUUGAUAGGAGAGCUCCUAGGAGGCCUGAUUUCCUGCUGGAAGUUGUGUUGGUGGGCCUAUUGGGAGUGAUUGUCCCUCUGGUCAAAUUAUCCCCAAUGAGGACACUACUGUUGGAGGUGCUGUCUUUGUGUUGAUAUGUCAAAUGGAGGUCCUGGCUCACUGUGGUCAUUAAAGAUCCCGAUACUUAUUGGAAAGAGUCGAGGAUUCCCCCUGUGUCCUGCCAAAAUUUUCAACCUGCCACCUAAUCAUCCUUCAACUGGCCAAAAAUUGAUUUUUUCACUUCACCUCAGCUGAUGUUAUGAGUGUUCUGGCACAAAUUGGCUGCCAUGCAUCACCCAGGUGGGUGCUACAAAAAGCUUCCCCCUCAACCUGGUGAAGGGCUUUGAGUGUGAGAAAAACACAAUAUAAAUGCUAGGUAUUAUUAUUAUUAUUAUUAUUAUUAUGAUAUUUACAACAAUGUUAUUACCAUUCAUGAGUACAACUGUAUUCAGCAUUACAAUUAUUGUCAUCAUGUUCAUCAACAACAUUGGCUACAUGUGUAAUGGUAUCCCAAAGGUGAACAUUUUUACAAAUCACACUGGGUCCAACUAUUAUGGGCAGUAUUGUUCCAGUUACUGACGUCCCGUUGCAACCCGGUCGUAGUUUUGAAACAAAAACGCUUUUAUCUUGAAGCCCGGUGUAGAAACUGCAUCGGAAGUUGGGUCCUUUUCGGGGUGAGAGUCACAGUUCUCAGCUGAAUUCAGUCAAGAGCAUUAUUGUUCACGCUGCUUUAUUGCGCACGAGAUCAUUCACUGCCAAGAACUACACUCCAGCAAGUUGAAUACACGAUUGAACGGAGUCAUAAGCAGAUAUGGGGAGCUGUACUUCUGCUCACCUUUGAGCAGCAGUAUGAUGCAGGCAGGAGUCUGUCUGAGACAGGAUACUGAGACAAUACUACCAGAGCUCACUGAGCAGCACAGGAUCAGACAGGAAGAAGAGGAACUUAGUGGACUGGAGUCUGUCCACAUGGCAGAGUUAGAAACAGAGUGUGCUGCACCAGGACUCGACACACUGGAGUCAGAGUGUGUUACAGCACACAGCAGGACAUCUUGACAAAAUGACUGGGACAAGCUGGGCAAACAGGCCUUUUCCAUUUUAUAAUGUGUCCCUGUUUUUCGUUUUAAAAUGUAAUUUAAAUUCCUUGUUAAUGUAAAAUGUAAUUCCUUUUGAUUAAAGGGUGAUAUUUGUGGUGAUGAAAUUGACACCAGUGCAAUUUAUAUGAAAGAAAGUGAAAACUGUAUGUAAAGAAACAUGGUAAAGCAUAAUGCAAUCUUGUAUUUUGAUAAUGCACUUGACAGUACUGACCUUUUCAGUUGUGCUGUUGCCUGUAUAGAGACUGUAGUGUGCAUGUCGGCUAAAUAUGAUCACUAGAUUAUAUCUGAGAUUUCACUUUCAAUUUCUCAAUUCUGUAUAGGGAUUGCGUAUGAAAUAAAUUGUGAAUGUGCACAUUCCAAGACCAUUAUGCCAUGUAAGUUGCUGUAUAAACUCAUGUCUUUCACGGUUUCAUUUUUCUCUCUCCUGCUGCUCCUGUUUAUAAAUUUAGUUUAAUUCCUGCUGCAUGUUCAGCUAACUCGUAACAUUAGGUAUGUCACAAAUAAUUUGAUUUUCAUGGAGGGUGAAUUAGUUAAACCAUCUGAUACUUUUCUUUUUGUAUGAAUAUGUAAAUGUUUUUCACAUACUGUAUCUCAAAAUUAACAACAGUAAUAUUCAAAUGGACAUGUGGUCCUUAAACUAAGUAGGGAAAACACUUGUUGUAUAACUCUCCUUAUUCCUUGCCUAGACCUUCAGAGGAAACUUUUACCAUAUUCUUUUGUAGGAUUUUUUUGUUCUUGGAAAUAUUUGAUGAGUCUUACAGGUGAAAAGCCCUAGUUCUCAGUGUGGGGAAGUGGUUUUUGACCACAGAUCACUUAAAUCACCACCAAUUAAUUCAGGUGCAGUCCUGGAAGUGCACCGAGUGUGGGAUGUGUUUUUCAGCAAAAUCUACUUUAAAUGUUCACCUGAGAAAUAAUAGUGAAAAAGUGAAAAUGAAAAAUGAAAUGUCUUUCAGAUAUACUUAAAUGUUUAAACAAAGAUAUAUAAUUUUAAUGACCAAAAAGAAUUCCUAAAGGUGUAUAACCUGAAAAAUGCACUUGUGUAAUGUAGUGUUUCAUGAAACCGUCCUUUAAAUGCUACGCUGUGUUUGGAAAGUGUUUGAAAUGUCCAUUAAAUUUAAAGAACAACCUGAGAAUUAA
This is an RNA transcript of Anguilla rostrata (American eel), 5474 nucleotides long. It is a transcript of the gene named zinc finger protein 723-like, with no coding region annotated. The record is from RefSeq and is a predicted model, not a curated record. NCBI's taxonomy places the organism in Eukaryota, Metazoa, Chordata, Actinopteri, Anguilliformes, Anguillidae. The transcript has 4 exons.